GACGAACGCUGGCGGCGUGCUUAACACAUGCAAGUCGAACGAGACGAUUGAAAGCUUGCUUUCGAAAGUCGAGUGGCAAACGGGUGAGUAACGCGUAGACAACCUGCCUUUGAGAUGGGGACAACAGUCCGAAAGGACUGCUAAUACUGAAUGUUGUAUAUUUUCCACAUGGAAGAUAUAUUAAAGAUGGCCUCUAUUUAUAAGCUAUCGCUCAAAGAUGGGUCUGGGUCUGAUUAGCUGGUUGGUGGGGUAACGGCCUACCAAGGCGACGAUCAGUAGCCGGUCUGAGAGGAUGAACGGCCACAUUGGGACUGAGACACGGCCCAGACUCCUACGGGAGGCAGCAGUGGGGAAUCUUCCACAAUGGACGAAAGUCUGAUGGAGCAACGCCGCGUGAGUGAAGAAGGGUUUCGGCUCGUAAAGCUCUGUUGUCGGGGGCGAAUGUGCAGUAUUUGAAUAAAGUACUGUAAUGACGGUACCUGACGAGGAAGCCACGGCUAACUACGUGCCAGCCGCCGCCGUAA
Molecule: ribosomal RNA, 524 nt
Filed under: uncultured bacterium
Lineage: Bacteria
Description: partial 16S ribosomal RNA
Rfam family: Bacterial small subunit ribosomal RNA
Source: RNAcentral